UACGUAGGGUGCAAGCGUUGUUCGGAAUCACUGGGCGUAAAGGGCGCGUAGGCGGGUUUGUAAGUCGAUUGUGAAAUCCCAAGGCUUAACCUUGGAGCUGCAGUCGAAACUGCAAGUCUUGAAUGUCUGAGAGGGUGGGAGAAUUCCUGGUGUAGUAGUGAAAUACGUAGAUAUCAGGAGGAAUACCGGCGGCGAAGGCGCCUACCUGGCAGUACAUUGACGCUGAGGCGCGAAAGCGUGGGGAGCAAACAGGAUUAGAUACCCUGGUAGUCCACGCCUUAAACCAUGGAUACUAGGCGUUCGGAGUGUUAACCCUCUGAGUGCCGCAGCUCACGCAAUAAGUAUCCCGCCUGGGAAGUACGGUCGCAAGGCUAAA
This 376-nucleotide ribosomal RNA is filed under the name uncultured bacterium. RNAcentral describes it as "bacterial SSU rRNA". It matches the Rfam family "Bacterial small subunit ribosomal RNA", at positions 524 to 898 of the family's 1533-position model. The record is from RNAcentral.